UACAGAGGGUGCGAACGUUGCUCGGAAUUACUGGGCGUAAAGCGCAUGUAGGCGGGUCGGCAAGUCAGAUGUGAAAUCCCCGGGCUCAACCUGGGAACUGCAUCUGAAACUGCUGGUCUUGAGUACUGGAGAGGGUGGCGGAAUUCCUGGUGUAGAGGUGAAAUUCGUAGAUAUCAGGAGGAACACCGGUGGCGAAGGCGGCCACCUGGACAGUAACUGACGCUGAGAUGCGAAAGCGUGGGGAGCAAACAGGAUUAGAUACCCUGGUAGUCCACGCCGUAAACGAUGGGUGCUAGGUGUCUCGGGUAUUGACCCCUGAGGUGCCGUAGCUAACGCGUUAAGCACCCCGCCUGGGAAGUACGGUCGCAAGACUAAA
This 376-nucleotide ribosomal RNA is filed under the name uncultured bacterium. RNAcentral describes it as "bacterial SSU rRNA". It matches the Rfam family "Bacterial small subunit ribosomal RNA", at positions 524 to 898 of the family's 1533-position model. The record is from RNAcentral.